This 347-nucleotide unclassified non-coding RNA is filed under the name soil metagenome. Its description in RNAcentral is "partial contains 5.8S ribosomal RNA, internal transcribed spacer 2, and large subunit ribosomal RNA". The stretch from base 1 to 120 matches the Rfam family "5.8S ribosomal RNA", at positions 35 to 154 of the family's 154-position model. The record is from RNAcentral.
GAUGAAGAACGCAGCGAAAUGCGAAAAGUAAUGUGAAUUGCAGAAUUCAGUGAACCAUCGAAUCUUUGAACGCACAUUGCGCCCGCUGGAACUCCGGCGGGCACGCCUGUCCGAGCGUCAUUUCAACCCUCAGGCCCCCCUUCGCGGGCGGGCCUGGUGUUGGGGCCCGGCCGCUACCCUGCGGCCGUCCCCUAAAUUCAGUGGCGGCCUCGCCGUGAUCCCUUGCGUAGUAAUGCACCUCGCACCGGAGAGCGCCGUGGCCACGCCGUAAAACCCCCAAUUUUCAAUGGUUGACCUCGGAUCAGGUGGGAAUACCCGCUGAACUUAAGCAUAUCAAAAGCGGAGGA